AGGGCACCACCAGGAGUGGAGCCUGUGGCUUAAUUUGACUCAACACGGGGAAACUCACCAGGCCCGGACACCAGAAGGAUUGACAGAUUGAUAGCUCUUUCUUGAUUUGGUGGUUGGUGGUGCAUGGCCGUUCUUAGUUGGUGGAGUGAUCUGUCUGGUUAAUUCCGAUAACGAACGAGACUCUGUCCUGCUAAAUAGAUCCAGCCUUCCUUUUGGGUUGGACUCGCUUCUUAGAGGGACUGGCGAUGACUAGUCGCACGAGAUUGAGCAAUAACAGGUCUGUGAUGCCCUUAGAUGUUCUGGGCCGCACACGCGCUGCACUGAAUUGAUCAGCUAGUUUUUCCCUUUCCGAGAGGAACGGGUAAACUGUUGAACCCAAUUCGUGGUAGGGAUUAGAGCUUGCAAUUGUUCUCUAUGAACCAGGAAUUCCCAGUAAGCGCGAGUCAUCAGCUCGCGUUGAUUACGUCCCUGUCCUUUGUACACACCGCCCGUCGCUACUACCGAUUGAAUGUUUUAGUG
RNAcentral lists this ribosomal RNA (519 nucleotides) under uncultured eukaryote. RNAcentral describes it as "SSU rRNA". It matches the Rfam family "Eukaryotic small subunit ribosomal RNA", at positions 1161 to 1703 of the family's 1831-position model. The record is from RNAcentral.